AGCCUCCCAAAGCUGGGAUACAGGUUUUUGAUGAAACAUGAUAGUGGCAACAUUUGAAAAGAAGUUUAAUUAUAAAAAUGAUGUCUGGGAGAUAAAGAACUACCAAAAAAGCCGUGAAACCAGCUAUGGAGAUCAAAAUGAACUAUUAAAAAUAUACUUUAUUCUCUGAAAAGAAUCCACUAAAUAGCUAUGAUAUUUAUUUUAGGCAAAGUAAUUAAUAGUGCUCAAAUGUGAGGUGCAGUUUAUAUCCCUGGGAAACCAGUAUAUGACCUAAAGAUUAUUAUAAUUUCCUGAAUUUUAAUAUUAGUGCUACCUAUCCAAAAUGCAAUAAUCAUGGUGAAAAUAAAAUGUUU
Molecule: long non-coding RNA, 353 nt
Filed under: Homo sapiens (human)
Lineage: Eukaryota; Metazoa; Chordata; Mammalia; Primates; Hominidae
Description: HSALNT0090686
Source: RNAcentral